GAUGAACGCUGGCGGCGUGCCUAAUACAUGCAAGUCGAGCGAACGGACGAGAAGCUUGCUUCUCUGAUGUUAGCGGCGGACGGGUGAGUAACACGUGGAUAACCUACCUAUAAGACUGGGAUAACUUCGGGAAACCGGAGCUAAUACCGGAUAAUAUUUUGAACCGCAUGGUCCAAAAGUGAAAGACGGUCUUGCUGUCACUUAUAGAUGGAUCCGCGCUGCAUUAGCUAGUUGGUAAGGUAACGGCUUACCAAGGCAACGAUGCAUAGCCGACCUGAGAGGGUGAUCGGCCACACUGGAACUGAGACACGGUCCAGACUCCUACGGGAGGCAGCAGUAGGGAAUCUUCCGCAAUGGGCGAAAGCCUGACGGAGCAACGCCGCGUGAGUGAUGAAGGUCUUCGGAUCGUAAAACUCUGUUAUUAGGGAAGAACAUAUGUGUAAGUAACUGUGCACAUCUUGACGGUACCUAAUCAGAAAGCCACGGCUAACUACGUG
This 497-nucleotide ribosomal RNA is filed under the name uncultured bacterium. Its description in RNAcentral is "partial 16S ribosomal RNA". It matches the Rfam family "Bacterial small subunit ribosomal RNA", at positions 28 to 507 of the family's 1533-position model. The record is from RNAcentral.